RNAcentral lists this unclassified non-coding RNA (1044 nucleotides) under Hevea brasiliensis (rubber tree). The record is from RNAcentral. Lineage: Eukaryota; Viridiplantae; Streptophyta; Magnoliopsida; Malpighiales; Euphorbiaceae.
UGGUAUGUGGGUGAAGUUGGAAUUUCCAUACCUAUUUAGCCAACUAUUUGACUUGAAUAGUGCAGUGAGUAGUAAUCCGAAACACAAAAUUUAAAGAACGUCGAAUUUAGCACGUUAGAGCUAGGUAAUUGUGAAGCUAAAUUUAUUUUGGAUUUAUGUUAAGUUCUAGUACUGAAACAUUGUAAAAUUGUGUGUUUCAGUUGAAAAGAAUACUGAGAAAUAAUCUGAAUCACUGAGUCAAGGGCUAGAGGCGACUCGUACAAGGUUUGUGCACAACAUAAAAUCUUUCUGUAAAUUCUCUUUGACACUUUUUUUUUUAUGAAUAAAUUAUGAUUUAUUUUGAUUGCAAAUUUGUGAUUGAAAUGAAUAUUAUGCUUUUGGCCUAAAUUGUUAGAAAUUUAAUUGUAUGUGUUUGAAUUGUUAAUAAAUGUUUAGUAAAUUGUUAAUAUAGUUUUGAAACCACAGUGCCAUGACCAUAUAUUUGAAUGCCUCACUAGCAUGACUAAUACGAGGAAUUGGUUUUGAAUUUUGAUUCCCUCUUUGGCUGAAAUGUUGAGGCGUGUGCCAGUAGAGGAAAAAAUUGAAUGGGUACCCAUAGAUUGAGUUAGCUAGCCUUGUGAUUCCUCAUAAGCCUCUGGCUAUUGAUAUGAACAUUGUACUGAUAACAUGGUAUAACUGUGUGUUUUUAUGAAAUUGUUUUGUGACUUUCGAAAUGAAAAUGUUUGACUAAAAGUAUAAAUUGUGUUUUGUAUCUGCUUUUCCUUUUCGGUACCAUAAUUGAAUAAAUGUGAUUUAAUUUACAUAUAAAAUUGUAUUUUUGUUAUGUUGUGCACCACUGAGUCAUUGUACUCAGUGAUAGCUUUUCAUUGCUGUCGCAAAUAGAGAGACUAGUAGAGCAUCGGAGUGAGCUGCUAAGGAUUUCAGAGCUACUUCUGGACCUUUUGUCGGGUAUAAUCUUAUACUCUGAUUGUACAUGUUUAUUUUGAUGUAAUUGACUGUAUGUACAUUUGUAAAUUGGUUAUGAGCAGUUGUACAGAUUUUGUA